GGAGGCACGCAGCGACUGGCGGCACAGGGAUGGUCGAACCAUCGGGGAGCUCGUCACAUCGGAGUCGACCGCCUGGGCUCCGGCC
Actinoplanes utahensis is the source of this 85-nucleotide regulatory RNA element. It matches the Rfam family "ZMP/ZTP riboswitch aptamer (pfl RNA motif)". From Rfam's summary of the family: Previously known as pfl RNA. ZMP is also known as AICAR. The record is from Rfam. NCBI's taxonomy places the organism in Bacteria, Bacillati, Actinomycetota, Actinomycetes, Micromonosporales, Micromonosporaceae.